Macaca mulatta (Rhesus monkey) is the source of this 8131-nucleotide non-coding RNA. The record is from RefSeq and is a predicted model, not a curated record. Lineage: Eukaryota; Metazoa; Chordata; Mammalia; Primates; Cercopithecidae.
UCCGGGCACAGCUGCGGGGAGAAGGGAAGCCACAGGUCAGCACCUGGGGCCCCGGCUCCCGCCCUGAGAGCCUGCACUGGGGCUGCUCCCCUCUGCGGGUCACAGCCCGUACCACGUGAAUGGGCCUGGCUGUGCUCAGAUAAGGCGUUACUUUCCCACGCAGAUGAGAAUGGCCUACAGUGUUCACACACGAUGAGAUAUUUUGACUUUCGGCCAUUUAAACAUGUCAAAGCCAUUCCUAGCUUGUGGGCUGUUUACAAACGAGCACCAGGUCCGCUCUAACCUGUGGACAUGGUGUCGUUUGCCAAUCCCUAGGCUAGAGAAAGGGGCACACAUUGGCGACUUCCUUGAUGUGUCUGUAGUAGACAGGACACCUGCGUUCUAGGCAGGAGGACCGCGCCCUUAGCCUCCCCGCACCACCUGGAUGGACUGAUACUCCUCAGCCCUGCAGCGCCAACCCUGCCUCGCCUGCACAGGCCACCCUCCUCCCAGGAACACAGUCCUGACCUGCUGACAGCGGAGCCUCCCCAACUCCGAGGGCACCAGCCUCCGCCCCUCCCAACCCCUACCCCCAUCGUGGCAGCUCAAGGCCAGAAGACGCCCUGUCCCGGUCCUAGCACGGGCCUCCCAGACACACCCUGUCGAGGUGAACAACUGCCCCUGUUCUUGAGCCCAGCACAGCCCCUACCUCACUGUUCUCAGCCCUUGUGCGGUGGGUGCGGAAGUUGCGGAGGUUCCAGGCAAGGUGGCCGCCCUCUAGAGCUGCUGUUCUGGGAAAAGGCACUCCUUUUAUUAGGACAGUCUGUCAAACCUGUCUCAACAGCCUGCCCUGCUACCUGAGCCCUGCAGAACUGCCAUUAUCUUGAGCAAUUUUCAAUGUUUCUUAAAGGACUUUGAAAAUUGCCAAUAACUAUUAAAAUUAGAAAUAAGCCAAAAAAAAUACAUACACUUUUGUAAACACCUGUUAUCCAGCUGCAGUGAGAACCCAGGUUUCAGCUCUGAGUUCCCACUCGGGUGCUGGCCGUGUGACCCAGCGGAGCUCCAGCACCCGCACCCACACCUUCUGCUGUUUCCCUUUCCAAGGUCUUAGAGGGCAGUGGUGCUUCGUGGGACUCCCCGCAGCGAUCUUGGCUCCAGCGUGAAGCACACAUGUUCUCUAAAUCACUGGUCUUGUUUGUUGCUGGAACGUGAAGAGCCAGAAGAGAACUUGGGAACCGUUCAGUCCAGCGCCUGCAGGUGAGGAGCCGAGUCCCAGGCUGGUGGCGACCUAGGACCAGCCAGCCCGGCAGGGCCGUAGGCACACUGCAGACCAGCUCUCCACAGCCAGUUGCCUGCCUGGCUUUCCCUGAUCCAGUUUUUCAAAAGGGCAUGUGUCCAUGUCAAUAGAUCGCUUUAUAGAAAAAUGAAAUUUCUUACCCCUUUCCACUCCCUGGAGGCAACACUUUUAAGGCUUUUAACUGUUGUGUUUGGCAUUUCUCUCCGUAUUGUUACUUACACUGCUACUUCUUGAUGUCUUAAAUCAUAUCUUGCUUUUCUACUCAAAAAGUGGGUAAGCAUAGUGGUUCUAAAGCAGACUUUAACUGUGUGACUUUAGGCAGAUCAUAUAACCUCUCUGUGCCUCAGCUUCCUCAACUGUAAACUGAAGUCACAGCAGCAGCCUGCCUCGGAGACCGCGGUGGGUUACCAGCACACAUGGCCCUGUGUGGUCUGUUGACAUGUAGCGUGUGCUGCUGCUGCCAUCACUGUAGAAGCCUGACCUUUGGCUCUCCUACCACAUCCCGCCAUCCUCCCAACAGACUCAUCACAGUUUUGGGCCAGACCCAGAUCUAUUUUGGCAUUAGAACCAUGCAAACAUGGCUCUCAGAUGAGACACAGAGUGCACUUUGAUUACAUUUCCUUUCUUAGACAACUUUUUGUUUUUCUUGAAAUUCAAAAUUGCUUCAAAUUUGGUUUUUCGUUUUGCAUUUUGCUUAGGUUUCUAGGAUUGUAAUUCAGCCUCACAUUUUCUGAGAGCGUGGUCAGAACCUGGGUCCUGACCAUCUGCUGGAAGGUCCUCCCUGCCCAGUGCUAGUCUGGGCUCUCUGUCGCUGCCAUCCAGGCCACCCUCAUUCGUGUCCCAUCCUCGGGCUGGGCUGACAGUCGCAGUUUGCUGAAGUGUAUUCCCUCCCACUUUUGGGUAAUAAUGUGGCUGGGUAGAGGAUUCUAGAAAUCAUUUCCCUCAGAACUUUAAAGACAUUUCUUCAUUGUCUUCUAACUUUCCAAGUUCUUGCAGAAGAGAAGUCAGUGUGCUGUGAUCCAGGUCCCCUGUGUGUGACUCGAGCUCUUCCCUGGAGGCUCUUAGAAUUUUCUGAUGAUGUAGACUCUGUUUUCAUUGAUUGUGCUGGAAUUUCCAUCUGAAUGCUCCUUAUCCUGGAUUGCAGGGGCAUUUUCUUCCCCUCCUUGCUCGUUGUUCUCUUUCUGGCUCUCCCAAUACUCCCGCGGUGGAGGUCCUGACUUCAGCCUCCAGUGAUCUUAUAUUUACUCCUUUCCUCCAGGUCUUUAUAUUCUGCUUUAUCUUGCAUUUCUUCUAUUAAAAUUUUUUUUGCCAUCAUAUUUAUUUCCAAUAUAUAUAUAUUUUUCAACUUCUUGUUCAUUCACAGGCUCAAUACUUUUUUUUUUUUUUUUUUACGUUUUCUUCCUUCCCUUCACUGCCUCCAUUUCUCCCAACUCCCUCUUUCCUCUGUUUUGGUGUCUGUGUUUCAAGAGAUUUUCUUCACAUAUGAUCUUGGCUGGAAAAGCUGAGCCACUCUUUGGAAGUGAGGCUGAGCUCUGUAAAGUGGCAGGCCUCACACGGGGCUCUGGGGAGAGGCGCUGGGAGCUCUGCAGGCUUUCCCUCAAUGCUCGUUUCCAGGGUGCCACCUCACCACCACUCAGCUAGGCCCAUGUCCCCAGCAUGGAGGUGUUCUUGUCAAGCUCUCCAGAAAGGAACCCACCGUCCUCUGCCGGGUGUGAGGGGAGGCAGUGGCGUCUCCUGCACCUUGUGCACACUCCCAGCCUUUCCCUGUCUUGGCCUGUCCUUGCCUCUGUGGCCUGCGGUUCUGGACUCCUCCAGCGUUGCAGACACUGCUCAGCUGACUGCUUGUCAGCCUCUCACUGUGCAGGAGCUUAAGUUUUGCGUGUCUCCAGGCUAAGUCAGCUGUCACUCACUUCUGUUUUCCAUCUUCCAGAAGCAUGUCACCGGCUUUCCUCCGCUGUCCUUGUGGGUCGUUUGGGUAGCAUUUAGGAAGAAGCUGGACACAGAGCCUGUCCUCCCUGUCUUCUCUAUUGCUGUACUGCCAGCCUAGCCCCUUCCUCUUUGGAAGACUUGACGUGAGCCGGAAAGGAAGUGACAAGACAGGCCGGGCGCGGUGGCUCACGCCUGUAAUCCCAGCACUUUGGGAGGCCAAGACGGGUGGAUCACGAGGUCAGAAGAUCAAGACCAUCCUGGCUAACACCGUGAAACCCCGUCUCUACCAAAAAUACAAAAAAAUUAGCCGGGCGGGGUGGCGGGCGCCUGUAGUCCCAGCGACUCGGGAGGCUGAGGCAGGAGAAUGGCGUGAACCCGGGAGGCGGAGCUUGCAGUGAGCCGAGAUCGCGCCACUGCACUCCAGCCUGGGUGACAGAGCGAGACUCCGUCUCAAAUAAACAAAACAAAAAAAAAAAACAAAAGGAAGUGACAAGACAGAAACUGCUUGCUUAGAAGGAUGGCGAGGAGGUUUCCUUCAGGUAUAGGAGACUCAAGGGUAUGUCAGGUCCCCGUGAAGAAGGCAGGAAAGUAGCAAUUGUGGCACCAGAGUGAGGGCUGGGUAGGGCGGAUGGCUGGUGAUAGCUGAAGGAGCCAGGCAGCGGGGAGGCAGAGAAAGGACUUGCUCUUCCUGCUGCUGAGACGAGAGGAAGGAAAGACGAGGCAGCACUCGCAGGAAAAGGAAAGCCUAAUGCAGCCAUGCAGGGAACAACGCAGCCGUGCAGGGACGCCCUGUGCUAAGCGCUGGGCGUGCAGUGAGACUCCAUGAAGCCACAGUGUCAUUGAGGGGAGACAGGAGACAGACUUGUCAAAGGGCGCCUUGUGGGAGGCAGCUGCACAGCACAGGCGCUCUCCCUUGGAAACCGCUCCCUCAGUAAGAGGGGGCAGCACCAUCCACUCAGGCAGGGAGACUGCCGCCAGGCUCAGAACUUGCAAAAUGGAAAGAAGUGAGAACAGUCCUAUGGAAGAAGCACUGACUUCAGAAUAGAGUUGUAAGAUGCUAGGACAGAGCAGGUGCUUGACACGCAAUGGCCACUGUUUUCACUAUUCCAGGGAUUCAACUGCAAAGGAAGAAAAAUAUUUCAUCCAAGAGUGGACAAGCAGGCUUAGGAGAGAGGUAGAAGAGUGUCUUGGAGGAUGGUGUUUCUGAAGAGGGCUAAUUCCCAGCAAGGACUUCUGGGACCUUGCUUACUGCACGGCCGAGGUUACCUGGUUGUACUGGGUCCCGCACUAAGUAGCUUGUGUCAUCUCAGUUUAUUUAAUGCUCUCAACUCUAUAAAGUAGGUGGUAUUAUCUUCAUUUAACAGAUGAAGAAACUAAGAUGAGGGCUCUGGCCUGGAGCUGGUGAGAGGCCGCAGCAGGAACUGAACCUGGGCCUGCUGGACUCCAAGAGCCUUUCUGGCUCUGUCACUUGCACUGACCCCGAGGCCCAGGGGAGGUGACCCUGUCAAGUAUGGUGUAGAACUCAGGCUCUGCAAUGGCAGAGAUGGUUUGCAAAGGACCCUACACUUCCCUAUGCUUUUGUUCCCUACUUGUUUUAAAUUUUAUCUGAUAAACCAAAUCCUUCUAUUUCCUCUUUUUUAAUUUGUGGAGUUUUAAAAAUUGUGAUAAAAUACACAUAAAAUUUAUCAUAACUAUUUUAAGUGUUCAGUUCAGUAAUGUUAAGUAUAUUUGAGUUGUGAAAAAGGUCUCCAGCACCUUUUCAUCUUGCGAAACUGAAACUUUGUACCCAUUAAACAAUAACCAUGGAAAGCAAAACCACAGAUGAGGAGGAAUUCCUGUUCCAUGCUAUUUUGAUUACUGGAACUUUACGGUAAGUUUUGAAGUCAGGAAGUAUGAGACCUUCAACACUGUUCUUUUCAAGACCACACUGUCUAUUUAAGGUCCUUUGAUAUUUGCAUAUAAAUUUUUGGAUUGGGUUUUCCUCUUUUUGCAUUAAAGGAUUACAUUAAUCUGUAGAUCACUUUAGGUAGUAUUGAUAUCUUAACAAUAUUGUCUUCCAAUCCAUGAAUAUGGGAUGUCUUUCCAUUUCUAUGUGUCCUCCUUAAUUGCUUUCAGAAAUGUGUUGUACUUUUCAGUGCACACAUCUUGCCUGCUUGGUUAAGUUUAUUUCUAAGUAUUUUAUUCUUUUUGAUGCUAUUGUAAAUGGAAUAGUUUGUCUUUUCAGAUUGCUUAUUAAGUAUAUAAAAAUGCAAUAAUUAUUUGUAUGAAUUUUGUCUCCUGCAACUUUGCUGAAUUUGCUUAUUAGUUCUAAAAGUUCUAAGGUGGAAUUUUUACGUUUUCUAUACAGGACCAUAUUGUUUACAAACGGAGUUAAUUUUACUUCUUACCUCUGAUUUGGAUGCCUUUUAAAUUUCUUUUUCUUGCCUGAUUGCUCCAGCUAGGACUCCCAGGACUAUGUUCAAUAGAAGUGAUGAAAGCAGCAUCCUUUUCUUGUUCCUGAUCUUAGAAGAAAAGCUUUCAUUCUGGCAUCACUGAGUAUCAUGUUAGCUGUGGGCUUUUCAUAUACUGCCUUUAUGAGGUUGAGGUAAUUUCCUUCUGUUCCUUUGUUGAGUGGUUUUAAUCAUGAAGUUGUGUUGAAUCUUGUCAAAUGCUUUUUCUGUAUCAGUUGAAGUGACUGUGUGUUUUCCUUCAUGCUGUUAAUGUGGUGUAUUACACUGACUGAUUUUCUUAUAUUGAAACAUCCUUGCAUUCCAGGAAUAAAUCCCACUUGGCCUUUGCAUAUAAUCCUUUCAAUGUGUUGUUGAACUCUGCUAGUGUGUUGUUUAGGAUUUUGGCAUCAGUCUUCAUCAAGAAUAUUAGUCUGUAGUUUUCUUUCUUGGAGUGUCUUUGGCCUUAGUAUCAGGUUAAUGCUCAACACUGAAAUGUUCCUUCUUUUUCAUUCUUUAGAGGAGUUUCAGGAGGACUGGUGUGAAUUCUGUAAAUGUUUGGUAGAAUAUACCAGGGAAGCCAUCUGGUCCUGGGCUUUUCUUUUUGGGGAAAUUUUUGACUGCUGCUUCAGUCUCUUUACUAGUUGUAGGUCUGUUGAGUCUUGGUAGGUUGUGUCUUUCUAGGAAUUUGUCCAUUUCAUCUAGGUUAGACAAUUUGUUGGCAUACUUGUCCAUAAUAUUCUCUUGGUCUUUUUAUUUCUGCAAGCUGUGUUGUUCUGUAGGACACAAUGUUUUCUCGCCCGUUUCUGGUUUUAGUUAUUUAGCUUUUUUCUCUCUUUUUAUUUAAGUUGAAGGUCUGUCAAUUUUGUUAGUCUUUUCAAACAGCCAACUCUUAGUUUAAUUGAUUUUCUCUGUUGUUUAAAAUUCUCUCUCUUGUUUAUCUCUGCUCUAAUCAUUACUGUUUCUUUCCUUCUGUUAGCUUCGGGUUUUGUUUGUUGUUUUUUGAGCUUCUCAUCUCCUUGUACUCUUGUUUCUUGUCUCAUAUUCAGCCCAUCUCCAAGGGCUGCUGUGAGGAUCACAACCAACAGGACACAUGAAAAGUCUAUGACACUGGCCAGAUGCCUCUCAGAACCACAGCAGAACAUGCCUGUGAUUCAUUCUGGCUGGGAGGAUGUCGGGCUGCUCUUUGGGUGCACCAGGCCCCUGGGCCAGGCUGGGAGAGGUGACACUACCACUGCAGAAGGGGAUGCCACCUUCUGAGAGCCACAUGUUACUGUGUCUUCAACCCUGCCCCCUCUCACCAUGCUAGUUUUUUUUUUCCCCCCAUGGCACAGGGUUAGGAGUCACAGUCUUAGAUAAAAUGUAAGGGCUUGGUUUAAUGAGUAAUGGUUAGAAACGGCUGUAGGCAAGCCAUCCGGGUUUUUCUAGAUUAAAACAAAUAUUUCUCUUGGUGUCUACUUUAAUGUGAAAUAAUUGCCCCCAAGUCAGCCCUGUUGCAUCAGACACAGUGUGAGCCCAGCCCUUGCAGGGCCAGCAUCAGGAAAGGCAACCUCAGAAUUCUGUAGACGGGCAUUUAGGGACACAGUACAUGGCAAGUAUCAAACAAUCCACUGUGCCACAACAGGCCUGACUUGAAUUCCUGCCUGCACCCCUGAGCACUUUGGGACUUUGGGGAAGUGAUUUCAAGUCCCUGAGCUUCCGUUUCCUCCUAUUUACCCCAAAGAGUUACCCUCCACUGACUGCUGACUGUGCCGGGAGGGCACGAGCACCUGAUGAAUGUGGAUUCCUUUCCCCUUGGCCCUUCCUUAUCCUGCUCCCUCCUCAGGUCUCCACCUAACUCCAUCCUUUAUCAAGAUCAUCUAGAGAUAUCUACUAGCUAUAGUCUUCUCAAUGAAGCCCCAUAAAAAAUAGAAAUGAACACACUAUAAGUGGGAGAGGCAUCAGGCAUAUUGAGUAGUGGUUGUGGCCUUAAUGAUUUUCCAAAACCAAGAAAAAUGCUUGGGCGGGUGACAUUACAUAGAAAUGAUGGUGAUUAGGCCAUAGAAGGUUAAUUCCAACUCUGGAAAAUCAGUUCAGUAACUGUUUUCUGCAAAAGAUAAAUAGCUUAUUUCUGUAAAAGAAAACCAGGCAAUAAAAGUUAACCUUCAUUUCUAGGAAGUAAUCCAGCCUGCUAGAAUGACCAAUUAAAAUUUUCUACAUUUUAUAUAUUGAGUUCAAUAGUAUCCUUCAUAAUAUAAAGUUAGAGAACACUACUUAUGCAACAGAAAAGAAAAUAGCCUGCAUUUCUGGCUUCUGUCAUAAGAAAAACUUCAUUGCCUUUCUGAUUGUGUUUAGAACAACACACACAGAUCCUAACAGGAAGAAACUUGUCCCCAUGGGGACUGAGCCAGGAUCAGAGUUAAGCACUGAAACAAGCAAUUAAUUCCCCUUAGAGGAUUAAGGCACUCAGGUUCACUUUGAAUCAGAAAAGCGAAUGAAGAAUAAAAUGGUGUACAACCAA